AUAGAACCCGUAGAUGGCGAGGGUGAGAGGACAGGGAGAGGUAAAGAGAUCGAAAGAGAGAUGUUUUUCCUCCUCGCGACAGUAAUGUCAUCUCCCAGCGGACUUCGAGGCAGUUGUGGGCUGCCGUCUCCUGCCUGCAGCCUCCCAGCUGAGGCAAGCCAGACAGACAGACGUAGGUCGAUAAUAACGGCACUAGCUACUCUCUUCCGCAACGUCAAGCUACGCCUCUGAGAGACGCUGGAGGAAAGACGCAAAAGAAUGAAGGGAAGUGGUUAAGAUGUGAGAAGACUGUGGCAAAACAGCCUUAGGAGAGAGAACGCAUCUGCUCUGGACUACCAUAGUAAGCGAGGUACUCCACUCGAACCUGUCCUGCAUGUCUCCGAUUAGAAAAAU
Cyprinus carpio carpio is the source of this 393-nucleotide long non-coding RNA. The record is from Ensembl. NCBI's taxonomy places the organism in Eukaryota, Metazoa, Chordata, Actinopteri, Cypriniformes, Cyprinidae.